AUACGGGGGGUGCAAGCGUUAUUCGGAAUUACUGGGCGUAAAGAGCGCGUAGGCGGUUUUUUAAGUCAGGUGUGAAAGCCCGGGGCUUAACCCCGGAAGUGCACUUGAAACUAAAAAACUUGAGUAUGGGAGAGGGAAGUGGAAUUCCUGGUGUAGCGGUGAAAUGCGUAGAUAUCAGGAGGAACACCGGUGGCGAAGGCGACUUCCUGGACCAAUACUGACGCUGAGGCGCGAAGGCGUGGGGAGCAAACAGGAUUAGAUACCCCGGUAGUCC
This 274-nucleotide ribosomal RNA is filed under the name uncultured bacterium. RNAcentral's name for it is "partial 16S ribosomal RNA". It matches the Rfam family "Bacterial small subunit ribosomal RNA", at positions 523 to 796 of the family's 1533-position model. The record is from RNAcentral.